Molecule: ribosomal RNA, 253 nt
Filed under: uncultured bacterium
Lineage: Bacteria
Description: partial 16S ribosomal RNA
Rfam family: Bacterial small subunit ribosomal RNA
Source: RNAcentral
UACAGAGGGGGCAAGCGUUAUUCGGAAUUAUUGGGCGUAAAGGGCGCGUAGGCGGCCUGGCAAGUGGAAGGUGAAAUCCCUCGGCUUAACCGAGGAACUGCCCUCCAAACUGCUUGGCUUGAGUCCGGAAGAGGAGAGUGGAAUUCCCGGUGUAGCGGUGAAAUGCGCAGAUAUCGGGAAGAACACCCGUGGCGAAGGCGGCUCUCUGGGACGGUACUGACGCUGAGACGCGAAAGCGUGGGGAGCGAACAGG